This is a long non-coding RNA of Brienomyrus brachyistius, 808 nucleotides long. RefSeq lists it as uncharacterized. The record is from RefSeq and is a predicted model, not a curated record. The transcript is spliced from 3 exons. NCBI's taxonomy places the organism in Eukaryota, Metazoa, Chordata, Actinopteri, Osteoglossiformes, Mormyridae.
ACGCGCGACACAGGAGCCUGAGACCAAGGGGGGAAUGUUGUUAGCUAGCAAUUUUUUUUCUUUUAGUUUAAAUUCAGAGGCUUUAUCCUCUCCUCGCUAUUCACUUUUUGCCCGAUAUCUUGCUGUUCGGUUAAUUAUUUUGGGAUUAGCCAGCUAGCUGACGUUACGUUCCCUCCCACGCGUUGUGUGUUUUUUUUAAUGCAAGGGGGUUAGCCAGUCGGCUAGUCAGUCAGCCAGCUAACUACCAGUAUUAUUAGCUCCCGUCAGUCGCUGGUUUGUUGCGGCUGCCGUUCUGUUCCACUGCUCCUUUGAAUUUGCGACUAACUUUGGUAACGUCGAGUGUUUAUAUUUCGCCAUAAAACGCCAAGUAGACAAGCUAGCCAGUCCGGUGACAUAGUAGAAAAAUAAGCGCUGGGACCCCGGUUAGCCUGUCGCUAACUCCAGGACCAUAAGAUCGGGAGUUUGCUGUCUUUGAAUGAAGAGACGCUUAACCGGAGCUCUACCAUGACGUCCUGAACAAUGUCGGAGGAGUGAGCUUUUUUUUGUUUUUUUUUUUUUGUUUUUUUUUAUUUUUAUAUAUAUUUUUUCCCCUUCACCCCCCCUGCUGAACUCCUGCCCCUCCCUCCCUCCCCUCCCUGCUCUUUUACUUGCUAUGGAAUGCCCUCUUCCUGUGGCCCAACUCGAUCUUCCACUGUAGGAUUUCCCUCUGUUCCCACUGCAUACAGGGGACCAACAGAGCGCAGCUGAUUUCCCCUGCAGCCGCUUCCUUUGGGGUCUCGGAUUCAGCCACCCACCAAUCCCCCCCCCC